This is a long non-coding RNA of Esox lucius (northern pike), 1202 nucleotides long. RefSeq lists it as uncharacterized. The record is from RefSeq and is a predicted model, not a curated record. The transcript has 2 exons. Lineage: Eukaryota; Metazoa; Chordata; Actinopteri; Esociformes; Esocidae.
UUGUGUGUUUUGUUUGCCUUAACACACAGAGUUAGAUUCUGUCUGGAACUUUUCCCCCUAUAUGUGCUGCUGCUGGAAGGAUCCCAUCUGGAGGCCACUUGUCUAGGCUGUUAGCUCAAUGACAGGCAGGCGCAGAAAUGUUGCACCUCCAUGAGCCUGUGCUGCUGUAGGUACCGCGAGCUAGCUAAAGAAAGUGAGCUCCUUGGUACGGCGCUGCCAUCAGAUGCACGUGUAAGAGGAUAUCCCCCCAAAGCCCACAGUGGUGAACACUCUGACGGUUGACUGCAGGCAACCGAGCCAGGGAACUGGGAGACAGGAAAGCAACAUAAUCCGAGCCCCUACAGUCCUUAUAUAAAUAAGACAGUCAGCGCCCCCCCCCCGAAUCCUCUCACAUCUGUCUGGGAUAGAGAUCAAGCUGCAUAGCUCUCUCACCCUCCACUGGUUCUCCCCCAUCUCUCACCCUCCCACACUGCAGUGGAAGACGACUGACUGACUCAUGGGGCCAGAGGUAAACAGCCCCUCGCCAAUCGUUCUGGGAGACAUGUUGGAAAAUAAUAUACAAGUUAAAGGCUGUAAAAGAAAAGAAAAAAGACUGGAUCCGGUGUUAUGUGGUCAUGGUUUCCCCAAUGUUUUUUCUAGAGAGUAUGAGACGUUUGGUUAUACGUUGUUGGCUGUAUAUUACAUUUUACACAAUUAUAAAAAUGUAUAAAGACACUUUUUUUUUUUUGUAUUCAAGGCUAUCAUUAGCCUUCAACAGAGGAAUGUGUAGAAGGGGCUUGGAGAACGAUCUGGGCCCCAUGUCAUUUUCUAAAACCCCCAAGUUAAAUACUUACUCAAGGAAUCUUCCAGUGGCUGCUUGCUUCUCGCAUGCUGUGCUCUGUGAAAAUGGCUGAUCCAUAGGCAGAGUUUGAAAUGUGCUCACCAUAUCGGAGAACAUCGUUAACCAAUGUCUGACUGUAAGUGAUUGUUAAUAGCAUGCUAAAUCACAUUUAAGAUGAAUUGCUCUAACUACCCAUUGUCCCUAUUAUUUGAUGUACGCCUUAAAAUAUUCCAUCCUUUGAUCGGUAUGAUUUGCAGUUUAAAUACCAGUAGGUUUUCUCUUUCAUACUUUACCUUAUGGAACACUGCAUUGACACCCUAGUUUGAACCCAAAUACCCAACCAGUAGGCCUAAUUGUCCUUAAUUAAACACCAGUGCACCAA